RNAcentral lists this ribosomal RNA (228 nucleotides) under uncultured bacterium. Its description in RNAcentral is "partial 16S ribosomal RNA". It matches the Rfam family "Bacterial small subunit ribosomal RNA", at positions 568 to 795 of the family's 1533-position model. The record is from RNAcentral.
UGCGUAGGCGGGCUAAUAAGUCAGUGGUGAAAUAUUCCGGCUCAACCGGGAGACUGCCAUUGAUACUGUUAGUCUUGAGUUCGGCUGAGGUAGGCGGAAUGUGUAAUGUAGCGGUGAAAUGCUUAGAUAUUACACAGAACACCAAUUGCGUAGGCAGCUUACUAGACCGACACUGACGCUGAGGCACGAAAGCGUGGGGAGCGAACAGGAUUAGAUACCCUGGUAGUC